This is a long non-coding RNA of Xenia sp. Carnegie-2017, 371 nucleotides long. RefSeq lists it as uncharacterized. The transcript is spliced from 3 exons. Lineage: Eukaryota; Metazoa; Cnidaria; Anthozoa; Malacalcyonacea; Xeniidae. The record is from RefSeq and is a predicted model, not a curated record.
AAAGCAAUCUAAAUUGGCUAUCUUCCGCAUUCUAAAAUUUAGAACUCUGUGUAAUACCCAUUUAGAAUGAGCGAAACGGGUGAAACUUUUCCAUUUAUCACACUAAAAUGAUGUUCAAUCUGACGAAGUAAAGUUAUUGGUGAUUGAUAACUUAAUAAUUCCAUCGAGGGAUGUCUACAUUAUGAUAAAUACUGCUGUCAAAUACACAGUCAAAAGAUUUCGACAAAACGCUAUGAUAGAUGUCGAAAUGCCGUCAACACAAUUUGAGUUUGUUCUAAGCAAUACAACUGUUGCAGUUCUUCAUUAAACAUCAUCUAAUUUUAUUGGUCGUGUUCUUGGUUAUACACAAGUUACCCUCGUUGAUAAAAGUA